UGCUUGCUUCGGCAGACGAUAUACUAAAAAUGGAACGAUACAGAGAAGAUUAGCAUGGUCCCUGCACAAGGGUGACACGCAAAUUUGUGAAUCAAAAACUCAAUCA
Small nuclear RNA from Cavia aperea (Brazilian guinea pig), 106 nucleotides. The record is from Ensembl. Lineage: Eukaryota; Metazoa; Chordata; Mammalia; Rodentia; Caviidae.